GGGCUGUAGCGCAGCUUGGUAGCGCACCUGACUGGGGGUCAGGGGGUCGCAGGUUCAAAUCCUGUCAGCCCGACC
RNAcentral lists this transfer RNA (75 nucleotides) under compost metagenome. RNAcentral describes it as "tRNA-Pro". It matches the Rfam family "tRNA". From Rfam's summary of the family: Transfer RNA (tRNA) molecules are approximately 80 nucleotides in length. Their secondary structure includes four short double-helical elements and three loops (D, anti-codon, and T loops). The record is from RNAcentral.